Molecule: small RNA, 28 nt
Filed under: Bombyx mori (domestic silkworm)
Lineage: Eukaryota; Metazoa; Arthropoda; Insecta; Lepidoptera; Bombycidae
Description: piRNA piR-bmo-1498670
Source: RNAcentral
UACGAUUGAUAUUACGGCCCAUAGUGUC